RNAcentral lists this ribosomal RNA (496 nucleotides) under uncultured bacterium. RNAcentral's name for it is "partial 16S ribosomal RNA". It matches the Rfam family "Bacterial small subunit ribosomal RNA", at positions 28 to 507 of the family's 1533-position model. The record is from RNAcentral.
GAUGAACGCUGGCGGCGUGCCUAAUACAUGCAAGUCGAGCGAACGGACGAGAAGCUUGCUUCUCUGAUGUUAGCGGCGGACGGGUGAGUAACACGUGGAUAACCUACCUAUAAGACUGGGAUAACUUCGGGAAACCGGAGCUAAUACCGGAUAAUAUUUUGAACCGCAUGGUUCAAAAGUGAAAGACGGUCUUGCUGUCACUUAUAGAUGGAUCCGCGCUGCAUUAGCUAGUUGGUAAGGUAACGGCUUACAAGGCAACGAUGCAUAGCCGACCUGAGAGGGUGAUCGGCCACACUGGAACUGAGACACGGUCCAGACUCCUACGGGAGGCAGCAGUAGGGAAUCUUCCGCAAUGGGCGAAAGCCUGACGGAGCAACGCCGCGUGAGUGAUGAAGGUCUUCGGAUCGUAAAACUCUGUUAUUAGGGAAGAACAUAUGUGUAAGUAACUGUGCACAUCUUGACGGUACCUAAUCAGAAAGCCACGGCUAACUACGUG